Molecule: long non-coding RNA, 1096 nt
Organism: Coffea arabica (coffee)
Lineage: Eukaryota; Viridiplantae; Streptophyta; Magnoliopsida; Gentianales; Rubiaceae
Source: RefSeq, a predicted model, not a curated record
AAAAAUAAAGGAAGAGAUAAACAAGAAAACUUAUCAUGAUCUUUCCAAGUUGUAAAGAUGUAAAGCAUGCAGCUUUUAAACCAGUCCCUUGUCCCUAAUCCCCAGACAUGGCCACCUCUUUCAGGUACCUAUUCAAACAAUGUAAAAACUAAAACCCUGCCACCUUCCUGGUUACUCCCUCUUUCUCAUGAUUAAAUGAACCCAUAAAGUCCCUUCUAGGACUAGUACCGUAUAUAUUUAAUUAAGGGGCCAUCAUCAAAUUUGGUGUUAAGUAGGAAAAGAAGAGAAGAAGGAGGUAGAUAUCCAUCAAGGCCUACGAUUGCAUUGGAGGGUGACAAACUACAGUUGAUCAAGACUAAGCAAAAUCAAUGAGGAGAUCAGCAUCAAGGAAAAUGUUGUGGUGGGUACUGGUGCCUGGUACAAGAAAGAAGAGUUUGAAGGCUGAAUCGAGGAUGGACAUUGAGGAAAUACUCAAGAUGAAGCUUGCGACCAUCAUAGAAGAAGAGCCAGAAACUAUUGAUCAGGAAAAUGGUGGAAUACUCACAACCAAGCAUAAUUCAUCAUGCGUGAGCAAAAAGGGCAAAAAGAUUCAUCUCAAGAGGAGGAUUGCAUGGACUCCCUCGAUGCUAAUAAGACCAUGUUAAUUAGAUUUCAGCAGCAGCAUCAAGACCUGAAGCAGGUGAAUCUUUUGAGUGCUUCUUCAGCAUCUUUUUUCUUUUUCAACUGCUGAUAUGUAAAUUCCUUUGUCACUCCUUCUGUGAACUCCAUAUUGUCUCAAUGGCUGCUGGCAGAGUCGUUUUCCUAAUUGUUGACAAGUUGCAAGAAGCAGCAUCUCAAAUUUAGAGAUAUGAUCAUGUUCUUGUUCACAUUCGAAUUGUUUAUUUAGCUUUGUUGUACAACACUGAUUCCUCUGGUUGUAUUACUGAAUGGGACCUUAGUUAGGAUUUUUGUGUUUCUUGUUCAGCUGGACAUGUCUUAUAUAUUGAUAUGUUUUGUGGAGCAAAACCUUUAAGGAUUGACAAUAGUGCAAAAGAAUCCAGAAGCUGAUUAAAUUCAGUGAUGGCGACUUACCUAAUAUAUUCAAUUCUUGUUUUCA